CCCUUAGAUGUUCUGGGCUGCACGCGCGCUACACUGACGAUGUCAACGAGUCUCUCCUUGGCCGAAAGGUCUGGGUAAUCUUCUGAAACAUCGUCGUGCUGGGGAUAGAUCAUUGCAAUUUUUGAUCUUGAACGAGGAAUUCCUAGUAAGCGCGAGUCAUCAGCUCGCGUUGAUUACGUCCCUGCCCUUUGUACACACCGCCCGUCGCUACUACCGAUUGAAUGGUUUAGUGAGGACUCCUGAUUGGCGCCGCCGCCCCGGCAACGGAGCAGUGGACUGCCGAAAAGUUGUUCAAACUUGAUCAUUUAGAGGAAGUAAAAGUCGUAACA
This 329-nucleotide ribosomal RNA is filed under the name uncultured eukaryote. Its description in RNAcentral is "partial 18S ribosomal RNA". It matches the Rfam family "Eukaryotic small subunit ribosomal RNA", at positions 1470 to 1796 of the family's 1831-position model. The record is from RNAcentral.